RNAcentral lists this ribosomal RNA (406 nucleotides) under uncultured bacterium. RNAcentral's name for it is "partial 16S ribosomal RNA". It matches the Rfam family "Bacterial small subunit ribosomal RNA", at positions 30 to 526 of the family's 1533-position model. The record is from RNAcentral.
AUUGAACGCUGGCGGCAGGCCUAACACAUGCAAGUCGAACGAGUGGCGGACGGGUGAGUAAUGUCUGGGAAACUGCCCGAUGGAGGGGGAUAACUACUGGAAACGGUAGCUAAUACCGCCUACCAUCGGAUGUGCCCAGAUGGGAUUAGCUAGUAGGUGGGGUAACGGCUCACCUAGGCGACGAACCCUAGCUGGUCUGAGUGGAUGACAAGCCACACUGGAACUGGGACACGGUCCAGCCUCCUACGGGAGGCAGCAGUGGGGAAUAUUGCACAAUGGGCGAAAGCCUGAGGCAGCAAUGCCGCGUGGAUGAAGAAGGCCUUCGGGUUUUAAAGUACUUUCAGCGAGGAGGCGUUACUCGCAGAAGAAGCACCGGCUAACUCCGUGCCAGCAGCCGCGGUAAUAC